GGUCCGGCUGAGUGGUCUUGCCAAUGGUAAGUACUUCUCUGGUCGGAUCUUUCUUUCUGGGGAACCAACGUGCUCUUAACUGAGUGCGCUGGGGAUCCAGGACUUUUACUUUGAAAAAAUUAGAGUGUUUAAAGCAGGCCUACGCUUGAAUACGUUAGCAUGGAAUAAUAGAAUAGGACGUUGUGGUUCUAUUUUGUUGGUUCAAGGACCACCGUA
RNAcentral lists this ribosomal RNA (216 nucleotides) under uncultured fungus. Its description in RNAcentral is "partial small subunit ribosomal RNA". The stretch from base 90 to 216 matches the Rfam family "Eukaryotic small subunit ribosomal RNA", at positions 736 to 864 of the family's 1831-position model. The record is from RNAcentral. Lineage: Eukaryota; Fungi.